UACGUAGGGGGCAAGCGUUGUCCGGAAUCACUGGGCGUAAAGCGCACGUAGGCGGACUCUUAAGUCGGUGGUGAAAUCCUGGAGCUCAACUCCAGAACUGCCUUCGAUACUGGGAGUCUUGAGUCCGGGAGAGGUGAGUGGAACUGCGAGUGUAGAGGUGAAAUUCGUAGAUAUUCGCAAGAACACCAGUGGCGAAGGCGGCUCACUGGCCCGGUACUGACGCUGAGGUGCGAAAGCGUGGGGAGCAAACAGG
This 253-nucleotide ribosomal RNA is filed under the name uncultured bacterium. RNAcentral describes it as "partial 16S ribosomal RNA". It matches the Rfam family "Bacterial small subunit ribosomal RNA", at positions 524 to 776 of the family's 1533-position model. The record is from RNAcentral.